GCAUGAACAGGUGGGUGUGGUUGUUGUCGGGGUUGUACUUGGAGAUGGAGACAGCGACCGGGACCUUGAGUUCUUCAGACUCCAGGUCCAGCUCCACGGGGCAGCCCAUACAGAUCCUGCGGUCCUUCUUCACCGGCCUUCUAUCACACUCCACCCCCUGUGUGCUGGUGGCCUCCUCGCUCACAUAGACCGUGGCAUUGCACAUGAUUGGCUCCUGUUGGGUUCACAGACACAGACAGCUUAUAUAACAUAUUAUUAUCAUUAUAUCUGAUAUUCGAUAUUUAAGGCAGAUAAAUAAAUAGAUGGAUAGAUUAAUCUUUUAGCAUGAUAAGUAUAUGACUUAUUAAUAUUACUAUUAUUAUUAUAUAUGUUUUUUGCCAUUACCUUUAAAUCAUCAGCCGAGUAGCCACAGUCAGUCCAAGUCACGGCGCCCCCUGCUGGACAGUCACUCUUCCUGCUGUUGAACUUAAUUGAGUACAUAACCCCAGAGGCGUUCUCUGCCUACAGAGGGGACACACACACACACACACACACACACACACACACACACACACACACACACACACACACACACACACACUCAC
Gadus macrocephalus (Pacific cod) is the source of this 584-nucleotide long non-coding RNA. RefSeq lists it as uncharacterized. The transcript is spliced from 2 exons. Lineage: Eukaryota; Metazoa; Chordata; Actinopteri; Gadiformes; Gadidae. The record is from RefSeq and is a predicted model, not a curated record.